This 577-nucleotide long non-coding RNA is filed under the name Mus pahari (shrew mouse). Its description in RNAcentral is "predicted gene 42565 (MGP_PahariEiJ_G0004494.1)". Lineage: Eukaryota; Metazoa; Chordata; Mammalia; Rodentia; Muridae. The record is from RNAcentral.
UGGCAUGAGAUCAGCCCAAACCUUGUUUUUCCACAAACACAUAGUAGAAUCAGUAAUUAAUUAUCUCACCGAAGCAAGAACAAGGUGAGGGACAUGUUCUUAGAUUCAGCAGAUAACCAAUGACCCGAAUCCACAACGAGCUGAAUUCUGCCUAGAUUUCUUUUUAUAUAGUAUUAGGAGAGUCUAAUUCUACUUUUAAAUGAGUCAUGAAACAAAUCACUUAAAUGCCUUUUUAAAAAAAUCAAACACAAAAGUUAUUACACAUCAUUUAAUGUGAUACAAAACCUUGACCAAAUUGGGGCAGGCUAGGGCCAUGUUUUUCAGUAAAGUCGAACAGUGUAUUCCUGGUCUAGCUUCGGAAGGACUGUAUGUAGUCACCACUAUCCUGGGCAGCGAUGGUGCUGGGAAAGCCCUUCCCUACAAAAUGCUAACUUCCUUAGUAUUCGCUCAUGUCAAAAGCAAGGACCAAACAACUGUCUCCAGUAGCCUACUUCAGACAGUUGGGUCUCAUCUUUUACAUUUCAGUAGCUUGCUGAAGAAGCAGCAACUGAUAAGUGCUCAAACAUGACCCUGCAAG